ACAUGCAGUCGAGCGGUAGAGAGAAGCUUGCUUCUCUUGAGAGCGGCGGACGGGUGAGUAAUGCCUAGGAAUCUGCCUGGUAGUGGGGGAUAACGUUCGGAAACGGACGCUAAUACCGCAUACGUCCUACGGGAGAAAGCAGGGGACCUUCGGGCCUUGCGCUAUCAGAUGAGCCUAGGUCGGAUUAGCUAGUUGGUGAGGUAAUGGCUCACCAAGGCGACGAUCCGUAACUGGUCUGAGAGGAUGAUCAGUCACACUGGAACUGAGACACGGUCCAGACUCCUACGGGAGGCAGCAGUGGGGAAUAUUGGACAAUGGGCGAAAGCCUGAUCCAGCCAUGCCGCGUGUGUGAAGAAGGUCUUCGGAUUGUAAAGCACUUUAAGUUGGGAGGAAGGGUUGUAGAUUAAUACUCUGCAAUUUUGACGUUCCCGACAGAAUAAGCACCGGCUAACUCUGUGCCAGCAGCCGCGGUAAUACAGAGGGUGCAAGCGUUAAUCGAAAUUACUGGGCGUAAAGCGCGCGUAGGUGGUUUGUUAAGUUGGAUGUGAAAUCCCCGGGCU
Molecule: ribosomal RNA, 560 nt
Filed under: bacterium amp-d-12
Lineage: Bacteria
Description: bacterial SSU rRNA
Rfam family: Bacterial small subunit ribosomal RNA
Source: RNAcentral